RNAcentral lists this small RNA (127 nucleotides) under Marmota monax (woodchuck). Lineage: Eukaryota; Metazoa; Chordata; Mammalia; Rodentia; Sciuridae. The record is from RNAcentral.
GCUGGAAAUGGUGGUGCAUGCCUGUAAUCCCAGCAACUUGAGAGGCUGAGGCAGGAGGAUCACACAUUUGAGGCCAGCCUCAGUAACUCAGUGAGGUCCUAAGCUACUUAGUGAGACCUUGUCUCAA